UCCUACGGGAGGCAGCAGUAGGGAAUCUUCCGCAAUGGACGAAAGUCUGACGGAGCAACGCCGCGUGAACGAUGAAGGCCUUCGGGUCGUAAAGUUCUGUUGUUAGGGAAGAACAAGUACCGUUCGAAUAGGGCGGUACCUUGACGGUACCUAACCAGAAAGCCACGGCUAACUACGUGCCAGCAGCCGCGGUAAUACGUAGGUGGCAAGCGUUGUCCGGAAUUAUUGGGCGUAAAGCGCGCGCAGGCGGUUUCUUAAGUCUGAUGUGAAAGCCCACGGCUCAACCGUGGAGGGUCAUUGGAAACUGGGAAACUUGAGUACAGAAGAGGAGAGUGGAAUUCCACGUGUAGCGGUGAAAUGCGUAGAUAUGUGGAGGAACACCAGUGGCGAAGGCGACUCUCUGGUCUGUCACUGACGCUGAGGCGCGAAAGCGUGGGGAGCAAACAGGAUUAGAUACCCUGGUAGUCCACGCCGUAAACGAUGAGUGCUAGGUGUUAGGGGUUUCGAUGCCCUUAGUGCCGAAGUUAACACAGUAAGCACUCCGCCUGGGGAGUACGACCGCAAGGUUGAAACUCAAAGGAAUUGACGGA
RNAcentral lists this ribosomal RNA (590 nucleotides) under uncultured Bacillus sp. RNAcentral's name for it is "bacterial SSU rRNA". It matches the Rfam family "Bacterial small subunit ribosomal RNA", at positions 337 to 917 of the family's 1533-position model. The record is from RNAcentral. Lineage: Bacteria; Bacillati; Bacillota; Bacilli; Caryophanales; Bacillaceae.